This is a long non-coding RNA of Nyctereutes procyonoides (raccoon dog), 867 nucleotides long. RefSeq lists it as uncharacterized. The transcript has 3 exons. The record is from RefSeq and is a predicted model, not a curated record. Lineage: Eukaryota; Metazoa; Chordata; Mammalia; Carnivora; Canidae.
UUGAGAUUGUCAGAUUUUGAUUAUAAGUCAAAAUCAGAAACUUCUCAGAGAGAAAAGAAUAAAAUGCCUCAUUGAAAAUCAGCGUCCUGAUGCUCCUAGAGGCCGAGUUGCACUGAACCCACAAUCCGAAUACAAGAAAGAAGGAUCAAUAGGACCUCAAGAGUGAUCUUGGAUGAGAUGGGAACACUUGUGGGCAGAAUCUGAUUGGAUGUCGAGGGGAAGAAAUUGGGCCUAAAACAGAGAGAAAAGUGAGACCUGGAGGUACCUGCACGAGCUUCAUCAGCCCAAACAAGACUUGGUCAUAAAGAUAUCAGGAAGCUGUUCAACAACUACACAGAAAGAAGCAUCUCUGGGCACAUUAAAUUUUAGAUUUACACCAAAAAACCAGACUGUGAUAGAGCACUCUAAUUUAUUUCUCUCUUUUCUCCAUGAGACAGGAACUAUGAAGAGUUUACCCUAGUUAUUCUUGCUGGGGACACAGGGAAAUCCACCCAUGGGAAAGGGGAGAAACAACUAACUUGAAGUUUGAAGGACAUGUACUCAUGCCAAUCUUGAGGAAAUUUGUAGCCAAUAACUAAUAAUCAUCGGCUAACUGGGAAUUGUUACUUCUAGUAUUUUUUUUUCCUUCCUUAAAGGACUGCUUUCUUACGUUUUAUACGUAUUAUAAAUUUCAGGAACAGUGUUCAUAUUGCCUCCAUUUCAAGGACGUGGGAGAUAAAAGAUGCCUGGGUCAAUCAAGGCUUCCCAAAUCCCCACAGUUUUGUGUUUGGAGUCAGUCACUCAACUGCCGGAAGCACAAAAACGUAUUGUAGUCAACUUCCUGGGCUGCUACUUUACCAAUAAAGCUACAGUUCUUAUAAAUUAUAA